This 130-nucleotide microRNA precursor is filed under the name Mustela putorius furo (domestic ferret). RNAcentral describes it as "miRNA (ENSMPUG00000022809.1)". Lineage: Eukaryota; Metazoa; Chordata; Mammalia; Carnivora; Mustelidae. The record is from RNAcentral.
AAUUCUCAAACAUUGUAUAAAAUGACACACAUUCCAUAUAUGAGGUGUGAUUAAAACAUAAGACAAGUCACACAUGAAAAUGACUCUCAUUACUUUAUAAUCACACCUCAUACAUAAUCUUAGGCAAUCA